This 545-nucleotide long non-coding RNA is filed under the name Olea europaea (common olive). Its description in RNAcentral is "long non-coding RNA (OEUR_LNC006932)". The record is from RNAcentral. Lineage: Eukaryota; Viridiplantae; Streptophyta; Magnoliopsida; Lamiales; Oleaceae.
ACUGGGGCACGACGUGGAGGAGCAGGAGGUGUUCCGUUUUGCACAACCUCUGCCGCUCACGUCAUGAAUUGAUCAAAUCGGAUUGUCAACACCUCAACUUGAUUACGCAGAUUUGCAACUUCACCAAUCUGGCCACCACGACCACCACGUCCUCUCCCAUGCACCAUGCUCUGAUACCAAAAUGAUGUAGAUUGAAUCUACAAACACACGACAACAAUAACCAAACGGAUUGAAUUCAGAAACAAACUUUUAUUAUUUCGUGAACAACCAAGAAAACCCUAGGAGGCGUCUUGCAGCAUCUUAAAUAUGAAAGAAAAGAUAACCUAUUGGGCCAGCAGUCCCAAAAUGGGCUGGGCUACAAAAUGGAAAUAACAAAUGCUGAAAAUAAAUAACAUAAAAACUUAAAAUGCUGUUUUGACACACUAAACGACUUCAAAUGCCCAAAAACUCUCGUACGUCACAGCAAAGCGGUGAGUUCAAUCCGAAACGCUCGCUACCUUUCCGAAAUGGGGUUAUGGGCCCAAAACGGACACCAAACGCAANNN